UGGGGAAUUUUGGACAAUGGGGGAAACCCUGAUGCAGCAACGCCGCGUGAGUGAUGACGGCCUUCGGGUUGUAAAGCUCUGUCUUCAGGGACGAUAAUGACGGUACCUGAGGAGGAAGCCACGGCUAACUACGUGCCAGCAGCAGCGGUAAUACGUAGGUGGCAAGCGUUGUCCGGAUUUACUGGGAGUAAAGGGCGCGUAGGCGGUUUGCUUAGUCAGGCGUGAAAGCCCUGGGCUUAACCUGGGAUGUGCGCUUGAUACUGGCAGGCUUGAGUGUGUGAUAGGUUGGUGGAAUUCCCAGUGUAGAGGUGAAAUUCGUAGAUAUUGGGAAGAACACCGGUGGCGAAGGCUGCCAACUGGACCACAACUGACGCUGAGGCGCGAAAGCGUGGGGAGCAAACA
This 402-nucleotide ribosomal RNA is filed under the name uncultured bacterium. Its description in RNAcentral is "bacterial SSU rRNA". It matches the Rfam family "Bacterial small subunit ribosomal RNA", at positions 355 to 774 of the family's 1533-position model. The record is from RNAcentral.